This 400-nucleotide ribosomal RNA is filed under the name uncultured bacterium. Its description in RNAcentral is "bacterial SSU rRNA". It matches the Rfam family "Bacterial small subunit ribosomal RNA", at positions 533 to 933 of the family's 1533-position model. The record is from RNAcentral.
GGCAAGCGUUGUCCGGAAUUACUGGGUGUAAAGGGAGCGCAGGCGGACUAGCAAGUUGGAAGUGAAAUCUAUGGGCUCAACCCAUAAAUUGCUUUCAAAACUGCCGGUCUUGAGUAGUGCAGAGGUAGGCGGAAUUCCCGGUGUAGCGGUGGAAUGCGUAGAUAUCGGGAGGAACACCAGUGGCGAAGGCGGCCUACUGGGCACCAACUGACGCUGAGGCUCGAAAGUAUGGGUAGCAAACAGGAUUAGAUACCCUGGUAGUCCAUACCGUAAACGAUGAUUACUAGGUGUUGGAGGAUUGACCCCUUCAGUGCCGCAGUUAACACAAUAAGUAAUCCACCUGGGGAGUACGACCGCAAGGUUGAAACUCAAAGGAAUUGACGGGGCCCGCACAAGCAGU